AUUGAACGCUGGCGGCAGGCCUAACACAUGCAAGUCGAACGGUAACAGAAAGCAGCUUGCUGCUUUGCUGACGAGUGGCGGACGGGUGAGUAAUGUCUGGGAAACUGCCUGAUGGAGGGGGAUAACUACUGGAAACGGUAGCUAAUACCGCAUAACGUCGCAAGACCAAAGAGGGGGACCUUCGGGCCUCUUGCCAUCGGAUGUGCCCAGAUGGGAUUAGCUAGUAAGUGGGGUAACGGCUCACCUAGGCGACGAUUCCUAGCUGGUCUGAGAGGAUGACCGGCCACACUGGAACUGAGACACGGGCCAGACUCCUAGGGGAGGCAGCAGUGGGGAAUAUUGCACAAUGGGCGCAAGCCUGAUGCAGCCAUGCCGCGUGUAUGAAGAAGGCCUUCGGGUUGUAAAGUACUUUCAGCGGGGAGGAAGGGAGUAAAGUUAAUACCUUUACUCAUUGACGUUACCCGCAGAAGAAGCACCGGCUAACUCCGUGCCAGCCGCCGCAGUAA
Molecule: ribosomal RNA, 506 nt
Filed under: uncultured bacterium
Lineage: Bacteria
Description: partial 16S ribosomal RNA
Rfam family: Bacterial small subunit ribosomal RNA
Source: RNAcentral